CCCUGUGGAAAAGCCCAGAACAAAGCAUCAUUCAACCGAGAGUUCAUGAAAACAAUAGUUCGCAACCAUGGACGAAUCUAGCGAAGUAUGUUGAGAGCUGAAUACCAUUUACUGGCAUGACUAGUUCUAAUACCCAUUUUCCAUUUUAUCAUAUUGUUAUCAGGUAAGCCAAUUUUGUAAAUCUUGAUGCAUCCCUGCCAUGCUUUACCCCUUCAGAUGAAAGCCCAGCCUCAAAAUAGGGCCGGAGAGACUCGGAUCGAUGGACAAGACUUGGCCGAUGACUUCCUUCACGAUGGCCUCUGCGUUUGGGCACGCCUUCUGGUAAAACCCUACUUUGAGACCGUGACCUUGAGCAACCUCAGGGACAAGAAAAAAGAACAUCAAUUGAAGCAACAGACAAGACAAGAGGAGCUUUGGACAAGGCAUUCUUUGGUGCCAAGAAGAACUAUGAUUGUUAUCACUUAAUCCGAGUGUCUGGCUGUGGACGUUCCGCGAGCAAACCGCUUUGUCUUUUAUAGGGAGAAUUACAAAAAAGUGUUAAACUUGUUGCAAUUAACCAAUAUAGUUCUGAACUUUCUUUUUUUUCACCCAAUUGAGUCCUAAAACUUUUAUAUUUUUGUCGGUUCGAAUCAUCCGACCAAUUUUGAUAAAAAAAUCUAUAACAUGACGCUAGCCGUUCUACAUAGGUAUAAUCGCCGACGUGGACAAUUGUUGAUAAUAUUUUAAUAUUUUAUUCAAAUUUAUUUAUUUAUUUUCUUUUUCUUUUCAUUUUUCAUUUUUUUUCUUUUUCUUUUUUUUUCCUUCCCUUCCUUUUUCCUCUAGCUGCUUGUUGACCUCAAUGAUUGGCAGGGGCAAGCUUCACCUCGCCAGUCAUUGGCGAGGUCGAGCCUCACCCUCGCCAAUGGUCGGUGGGGGUGAGCUUCGCUAGAGGUUGGCAAGGUCAACCUAAGGUCAACCUCACCGACCGUUGCCUCUAGUUGGUUGCUGAGGCCCAACGACCAACUAGAGGAAGAAGGAAGAGAAAGAAAAUAAGUAAAAAGUUGUGACAUCGCGAAAUUUCAGAAAAAAGAAUUAUCGGAUGAAAAAUUGGAGAUUGAAGAAAAAUAAAAUGAUAACAAUAUUAUUAUUAUUUUCUCUCUCUCUUUCUCUUUCUCCUCUCCUCUAUGCUUCCCCCUCCUUCGCACGCAAUUUCUACCCCCACUUACGGUAACUUUUUCUCCUCUCUUUCUUCUUUUUCUCCCUCUCUCUCCCACUUUUCCACCCCCUCACCUACACCACUCUUCUGCUGCAAUUUCCUGCAACUUCCCCCUCCCUUUUUUUUUUAAUUAUUGUUUCUCUCUCUCACUUUCCUCCCUUCCUCCUCUCAACAACCCCAUUCCCACGUCCCUCUUCUUCUUCACUUUUUCUCUUUAGUGUCUUUUCUGUUUUGCUCCCAAAAACAGCACCGUGUGCUACUGUCUUGUCCCAAACCAGCCACCAUCAUGCGCCAUGGCCAUGGGCCAUCACUGUCCGCAAGCCGCCAUCCACCGCCGCCGAGCCGCACCACCCAUCUGCAAGCCGUUCGCCCGCCGUUCUUGCCAAAUCAGAAACCACCUCCGCUGAGACCCACUUUUUCCGAGUGCCUCCAUGACAUUUUGGACGUAACCGUGCGUAGCCCUCGCCACCACCGUUGCGCUCAUGUCAUCGGAACUCCUAAUCCUUUGAUUAGUGCCUAAACUUACUUAGGAGGCUGAUUAGGUUUAAGAUUGGUUUAGGAUGGCUUAAAUAGAGACUAGUAAUGAUUUAUAAUAGUUAGAUUAGUAUUAGAAUGGGUUAAUAUUAGUCAAAUCAGGGAGAUUUGCAUCGUUGGGGAUGAUUUGGGUGAAAACAGAGGCUGUUCUUCAGAACUGGUUCCUGGAUGUCUGCUGUUUGUGAUUUUUGUAGAUUGAAAUCAGUCGCGAAUCUGAAGCCGAUGUCUUCUAGAUAAAUAUUUUAGAUCUCUCAAGAUACAACAUAUAUUUUUUCUCAAGAUUUUUAAGGACUUAUAAGUAGGAGAUAUUAGCUCCGCCAUUUUCGAACAGAACUGUAAUUUUCGCUGGAACAGGUGACCUUUUAGGAUUCUAGGGGUUUUAUUGACUCUUGGAGUUCGAAUUUUAAAAUGGUUUCUUCAUAAAAAUUGUUUUUCACCUCUUAUAGUUUAACAUACUCAAAUUUCAAAUCAAAUUGACGUGUUUAAGACCUUGAACCAAACUGAUUUCGGAAAACUGACUUUCUGAGAAUGGACCUAACUUUGGCGCUGGAUUGAGUGAUUUACUGGGCCGAAUAUAGAAGGAUCUGGGUUUAGAUGUCUGCAUGAAAAUGUUCAUUUACGGGUCCUUUACAAUAUAUUCAAAUUUGGGAAUUUUCUGAGCUCUAUUGGUUAGGUUUCUGGAUUUAAAUUUAGAGAUGCGUGAAGACCCGAUUUCUACCAAUUAGGACCGAUGUUAGUUUGGUGAUGGUUCUUGAUACUUUGCUUGUUUUAAUUAAAUUUUUUAAUGAAUUGUGGAUUUAAUUUAAUAGUUACUUAAUUCUGGAAUUUCACUGUUCGCGCGAACUGUUCACGAAAACACGGUUCACGUGCACCAUUCACCCGAGAAUGAAAAGUGAUCUAAUUUCAUGUGUAUUGAUUUUAUGAAGUGAAUGAAUUGAUUUUAUGAAGUGAAUGAAUGUAUAAAUGCAUGGACAUCCGCGUGAAUUGGGUGAUGUUUUGUGUAAUAGUAUAGUGAUUGGAGAUUGUUGGUAUUUAAUUAGAAAAUACUAUGUGUCAGAUUUUGGAUGCCAAAAGUGUUUUUAAAUACUAUACCAAAUUGUGGGAUUUUCAAAGAGAUGACACAAAUUUUUUUGUUCGAUCUAACCGUGUCCCCGCACUAAAUUAUUUUACCAUAUAUUUCUAAUAUGAAGAAAAUAGGCCGGGAUCACCAUUUUAAUUGAGGUAUUUGAGUGUAAUGCACGGUAUCCUGGCCGAAAUUGAAUGAUAUGAGAUGCCGUCACGAGCCUUUGGGGCCGGACGAUGCUCCUUCGGGAAUGCCCCACGUCAACGGAUGCCGGUCACAGUGGAUGCUGGGCUGAUGCUCCUUCGGGAAUGCCCCACAUCAACGGAUGCCAGUCGCAGUGGAAGCUGGGCCGAUGUUUCUAUAUGGAAUGACAUCUAGAUGUAGACGUUGCCGUGCUUGAUGGUGCAAAACGAUGCCCAAUUAUGCCAGAAGACCGUUAUCUGUUUUAUUGACUGGGAUCCAUGUGAUCGAUCGAUGUGUGCUGUGUGGUGCCAUAAUGUGUAAGAACGCAUGAGAAUCAUGGCAUCUUUAGUUCUAGUCAUGCAUGAGUUGAGCACAUUGUUUAUGACACGCACGCAUGAAUCGAUAACGUGUUUCACAUAUGCUUCCGCUAUACUAAGAACAAAGCCUUGAGGGGUGGCCUGGGAUGGCGGUUCAUCCGUGCCAGUACAGGGUCCAAAGAGGACAAUACUAGGCUGAGAUGAGGGAUGGCGGUGCGUCCGCGCCUCUACCUCAAACAACGCGUUUGUGUGGCAAUAGCCAGGUGAGAUCGCUUAUAACGCGAUUCGUAUGUGAUUGAUAAACUGCAUCAUCUAAUGGUCAUGUGCAUUGUGUGUAUCGUGCUGAGCUAUGACGUGCAGGGUAUGGCAUACCAGGUAAGGAUGUAUGUGAAUCGACUAUUGAUUGUUGAUUGUUAAUCCUUGGUUUUUUUUUUGUUCUGAAGAGAUACCCCGAGUUGAGUUGGUGUACUAAUCAGGGGACUAGGGGAAGAACUCGCUGAGAUUUACAUUUCACUGGUUAUUGAAUAACAACUUUCAGGUCCUAGUGUGAAGAACUUGGAGUUUGAAGCGAAAGGGUCAGGAGCAUAGGUGACUCAGUAAUCCUUUAUGAGAUAAACCUUCUGUAUAAGCUUGGGGUGUUUAUGAAAGUGUAUUUGAUUUGAAA
This is a long non-coding RNA of Eucalyptus grandis, 3956 nucleotides long. RefSeq lists it as uncharacterized. Lineage: Eukaryota; Viridiplantae; Streptophyta; Magnoliopsida; Myrtales; Myrtaceae. The transcript has 2 exons. The record is from RefSeq and is a predicted model, not a curated record.